Molecule: long non-coding RNA, 1148 nt
Filed under: Mytilus galloprovincialis (Mediterranean mussel)
Lineage: Eukaryota; Metazoa; Mollusca; Bivalvia; Mytilida; Mytilidae
Source: RNAcentral
AUGACAAAUAAAAACCAUCGAAAACCACUGAUUUCAGACACUUGACUUAGAACAUGCAUAUAAAGAAUGUGGCGGGGUUAAAAACGUUUGAGAACGCUCAACCUUUAUUGCCUCUGACAGUGGUGUACCAUCAGAUUGUAAGAAAAAACUGUAAAAAUCAAUAGAAAACUGUUUGACUCGUCUAAUCGACACGAAGCACAGAACCAAUUGAACUAACGACAAAAAAACAUAUGUCACCCGUCUGAGUACUUGCAGUUAAUACCAUACGUAUUGAUUAAAGUGUACCAAUACACAUAAAUUUUUAAUUGAUCAAAAACAAAAUAUACAGACUACUCAAUAAGAAUCUCUGUAUGCUCUUGUUUGAAUUAGAAUUCAACAGGAUAUGUCAAACUUUUAAACCAAAUGUUUGUUUUAGAUGUUUUUGUUUAGCAAAAAUUGUAACGAAUUACCUUAAUUUACAAAUUAAACAUAGAUAACCUUAUUCUAAUCUAAAACGCCAUAACAAACACGAUCAUAGAAAAUGAGAUUGGGAAAAAAACAUACCGUAAGGAUAGGCGAAGGAAAAUUAUAGUAAAAAAAUGGAAAAUAAGCAAUAUAGAACAAAAAUAAUCUUCUCUUUUGUCUAAAAUUUUUGUUUUGAGUUUGAAUUUCGCGUUGAAAUCCCCAAAUCCAGAUCUAGAAAAGAGCAUACAUAUCUGUUAAUUUUACAUUUAUUUAAAACAAGUUCCCAAUGGUAAAUUUUCGCAGGAUAAUUCUUUAUAGAUAUUUCUAGAUUAUUUAGAGCAAAAACAUCAUCAAGGUAACGGUGAGUAUUUCUAAAUUUGGAACAAAAUAGAAUCUUUAUUUACUUUGUUUAAGAUCUAUGUUCUAUAGCAAUACAGGAACAUGUCUGCUAUAAAAGUGUCGCUAUGUGUUCCAAUAGGAAUACCUGUUGAUAAACGUCCAUCCAUGUUGUAAUGGAGAACAUUUAGUUUUAACCAUUUAACCACCGUUCUAUAAGUAAUGUAUAGCAUUUACAGAAGAGGAUUUUCAAUGAGCUACAGCAAACAAAUCUUUAUCAUAUUUUUUCCAAGGAACAGUCAUCCAAUUAAAAAAUGCUUCGAGGUGUAGAAGUGUAGUGUCAAACAAAAAUAACUUUCAAAAAAAAA